GAUGAAGAACGCAGCGAAAUGCGAUAAGUAAUGUGAAUUGCAGAAUUCAGUGGAUCAUCGAAUCUUUGAACGCACAUUGCGCCCGCCAGUAUUCUGGCGGGCAUGCCUGUUCGAGCGUCAUUUCAACCAUCAAGCCCCCGGCUUGUGUUGGGGACCUGCGGCUGCCGCAGGCCCUGAAAAGCAGUGGCGGGCUCGCUGUCACACCGAGCGUAGUAGCAUACAUCUCGCUCUGGGCGUGCUGCGGGUUCCGGCCGUUAAACCACCUUCAUAACCCAAGGUUGACCUCGGAUCAGGUAGGAAGACCCGCUGAACUUAAGCAUAUCAAUAAGCGGAGGA
RNAcentral lists this unclassified non-coding RNA (336 nucleotides) under soil metagenome. RNAcentral describes it as "partial contains 5.8S ribosomal RNA, internal transcribed spacer 2, and large subunit ribosomal RNA". The stretch from base 1 to 120 matches the Rfam family "5.8S ribosomal RNA", at positions 35 to 154 of the family's 154-position model. The record is from RNAcentral.